Molecule: long non-coding RNA, 275 nt
Filed under: Manihot esculenta (cassava)
Lineage: Eukaryota; Viridiplantae; Streptophyta; Magnoliopsida; Malpighiales; Euphorbiaceae
Description: long non-coding RNA (MESC_LNC002280)
Source: RNAcentral
AAUAAAAACAUUUAAAUCAUAUGGCAUCAUGGAAUGCAUCACAUCACAACUAAUCACAUCAAGGAUGAACUUGUCACCAAUAGCCCUCUACAUAGUCCAACUGUGCCAGAACGUAGAAUGGGUCCUGGUCUUUCUCUUACAUAACAUAGCAUAACAUAACAGUCCAACUGUGCCAGAACGUAGAAUGGGUCCUGGUCUUUCCCUUACAUGGUGCCAGCGAACGUAGAAUGGGUCCCACCGGUCUUACAUUCCGUACUGUACAUAUCACAUCGUCA